This 462-nucleotide ribosomal RNA is filed under the name uncultured bacterium. RNAcentral's name for it is "partial 16S ribosomal RNA". It matches the Rfam family "Bacterial small subunit ribosomal RNA", at positions 28 to 507 of the family's 1533-position model. The record is from RNAcentral.
GAUGAACGCUGACAGAAUGCUUAACACAUGCAAGUCUUUGGCGAAGCUGUGCUUGCACAGCCUAGCCAAGGCGGACGGGUGAGUAACGCGUAAGGAACUUGCCCUGCAGUCAGGGAUAACAGACGGAAACGACUGAUAAGACCUGGUAAAGUCAGGCGGACUCAUGUCCAGCCUGAUGAAAAGAGAUGCUGCAGGAGAGCCUUGCGUCCUAUUAGCUAGUUGGUGGGGUAACGGCCCACCAAGGCGAUGAUAGGUAGCCGGCCUGAGAGGGUGGACGGCCACAAGGGGACUGAGAUACGGCCCUUACUCCUACGGGAGGCAGCAGUGGGGAAUAUUGGACAAUGGGGGCAACCCUGAUCCAGCAAUUCUGUGUGCACGAUGAAGGUUUUCGGAUUGUAAAGUGCUUUCAGCAGGGAAGAAAAAAUGACGGUACCUGCAGAAGAAGCGACGGCUAAAUACGUG